This 60-nucleotide transfer RNA is filed under the name Candidatus Eiseniibacteriota bacterium. Its description in RNAcentral is "Candidatus Eisenbacteria bacterium tRNA-Ser". The record is from RNAcentral. Lineage: Bacteria; Candidatus Eiseniibacteriota.
GCGCCUGGGUACUGACUCUUAAUCAGUAGGUUGAAGGUUCGAUUCCUUCGCGGCGCACCA